GAUAACUACUGGAAACGGUGGCUAAUACCGCAUAACGUCGCAAGACCAAAGAGGGGGACCUUCGGGCCUCUUGCCAUCAGAUGUGCCCAGAUGGGAUUAGCUUGUUGGUGAGGUAACGGCUCACCAAGGCGACGAUCCCUAGCUGGUCUGAGAGGAUGACCAGCCACACUGGAACUGAGACACGGUCCAGACUCCUACGGGAGGCAGCAGUGGGGAAUAUUGCACAAUGGGCGCAAGCCUGAUGCAGCCAUGCCGCGUGUAUGAAGAAGGCCUUCGGGUUGUAAAGUACUUUCAGCGGGGAGGAAGGUGUUGUGGUUAAUAACC
This 324-nucleotide ribosomal RNA is filed under the name Salmonella enterica subsp. enterica serovar Lubbock. RNAcentral describes it as "bacterial SSU rRNA". It matches the Rfam family "Bacterial small subunit ribosomal RNA", at positions 142 to 468 of the family's 1533-position model. Lineage: Bacteria; Pseudomonadati; Pseudomonadota; Gammaproteobacteria; Enterobacterales; Enterobacteriaceae. The record is from RNAcentral.